RNAcentral lists this ribosomal RNA (253 nucleotides) under uncultured bacterium. RNAcentral's name for it is "partial 16S ribosomal RNA". It matches the Rfam family "Bacterial small subunit ribosomal RNA", at positions 524 to 776 of the family's 1533-position model. The record is from RNAcentral.
UACGUAGGGUGCGAGCGUUGUCCGGAAUUAUUGGGCGUAAAGAGCUUGUAGGCGGUUUGUCGCGUCUGCCGUGAAAAUCCGGGGCUCAACCGCGGACUUGCAGUGGGUACGGGCAGACUAGAGUGUGGUAGGGGAGACUGGAAUUCCUGGUGUAGCGGUGAAAUGCGCAGAUAUCAGGAGGAACACCGAUGGCGAAGGCAGGUCUCUGGGCCGAUACUGACGCUGAGGAGCGAAAGCGUGGGGAGCGAACAGG